GUGGCUCAUCUAAACCAAGCGACGGUCAUACAAAAAAACUACAUCGAUUCCUCCGACAGUCUCGUUCUUCAUUCAGCACUCCACUGCACACCGCUUCUUCUCCAUAGUUGUGGCCGUGACCCCUCUCUCCACUCCAUGGUGGUUGCUCCUCCUCCUCCUUGGCGGCUCGAGCAAGCCCCUCCCCCUCCAUGGAUGUAGCCACCUCUCCUCCAUGUGCAUCUUCAUUCAAGUCUGGUAGCCUCCAUGGCGCCCCCACUCUAUGGCGGCGGCGGCUUCGAUAAAAUAGGGACACGGCAGUGGCUAGGGUUUCAACGAGCUCUGGUCCUAUUCCCUUCUCCCUCUGGCGAGCUCGAAGAUAUCCAGGAAUUACUGUGCCAUCCAAGCUAGAAAGGUCAGUAGAGACGACGCCGGCCCUAGUCACGCCCAUGCCGAGGCGACCGGCGGUUUGGAAGCACCAGUCGUCCAGUCCGCCCUGUGCAGGCCACUUGUGUGCCACUGAGAGGGAAAAUGACCAAAUCAUCUUCCAUCCCAUGGAUGCUGCCGCUGUUGCUUGGACGGUUGGUUCUUGUCCGCAUGCUCUGCCUAAGAUAUAUUUGAGGCAAUUUCUCCCCUUAUAUAUGAAUUUGCAUAGCACAGGCGGCUAUUGAUUUGACCAUUCUUCUUUGAUAUGUUUUUUUUCUCUCUCUAGUUUUAGUUGUUCAUUAACGUCAUUAGUCUAUAGUAAAACAAAGAUCUUUCCAUGGAAUUUCAACUGUGUCCACACAACCGUGCAUCUCCAACAAAGGAACUGAACCUCGUUGUCAAGAUAGUGCAUGCCAAUCUCGGCUACAUAUACACUAGUAACUUUCUGAACCCACGACGAAAUCAAGGACUGGGAUUGUUUCUCAAGCCAGUGAUCACCUGAAUAUCGUCCGAUUCCAUGUUCCCACAACACCUGUAAUUCUUGACGUUAGUAAAUUGCAUGCUCACUUUUUUUCAUUAUAUUUUCCUAUCUUCUUUAAAUUAAUUUGAUUUGUUAAUACAUACCUCCUUAUUAUUUGGGUCCUCAUACUCGUAAUUACAUAUAAUUUCAUA
Molecule: long non-coding RNA, 1074 nt
Organism: Sorghum bicolor (sorghum)
Lineage: Eukaryota; Viridiplantae; Streptophyta; Magnoliopsida; Poales; Poaceae
Exons: 3
Source: RefSeq, a predicted model, not a curated record